GAAUUUUUAUUUGUUCCUGCAAAGCUGCUGAAGCUCAGAAGCUGAUUCUAUCACAUUGUAAGAUGCCUUUGGAUAAUUCUACAGUCCUCUUAAAUGAAUCUUUAGAACUUGGCAAGUCUCACUAGAUACCUUCAAUCAUCAUUUUGAGCUCAAAGAAUUCUGAGACUUAUAGUUGGUCAUAUAGAAGAGUACCUUGAACCUAUAGUUUCCUGAAGAAUCAGUUUAAAAGAUCCAAGGAGUACAAAAGGAGAAGUACAAAUGUCUACUACAAGACGAAAACGUAGUAUGUUAUGUUGUUUACCGUAAGCUGUAGUAAAAUGAGCUCGAUUGUUGACAGAGAUGACAGUAGUAUUUUUGAUGGGUUGGUGGAAGAAGAUGACAAGGACAAAGCGAAAAGAGUAUCUAGAAACAAAUCUGAAAAGAAACGUAGAGAUCAAUUUAAUGUUCUCAUUAAAGAACUGGGAUCCAUGCUUCCUGGUAAUGCUAGAAAGAUGGACAAAUCUACUGUUCUGCAGAAAAGCAUUGAUUUUUUACGAAAACAUAAAGAAAUCACUGCACAGUCAGAUGCUAGUGAAAUUCGACAGGACUGGAAACCUACAUUCCUUAGUAAUGAAGAGUUUACACAAUUAAUGUUAGAGGCUCUUGAUGGUUUUUUUUUAGCAAUCAUGACAGAUGGAAGCAUAAUAUAUGUGUCUGAGAGUGUAACUUCAUUACUUGAACAUUUACCAUCUGAUCUUGUGGAUCAAAGUAUAUUUAAUUUUAUCCCAGAAGGGGAACAUUCAGAGGUUUAUAAAAUACUCUCUACUCAUCUGCUGGAAAGUGAUUCAUUAACCCCAGAAUAUUUAAAAUCAAAAAAUCAGUUAGAAUUCUGUUGUCAUAUGCUGCGAGGAACAAUAGACCCAAAGGAGCCAUCUACCUAUGAAUAUGUAAAAUUUAUAGGAAAUUUCAAAUCUUUAAACAGUGUAUCCUCUUCAGCACACAAUGGUUUUGAAGGAACUAUACAACGCACACAUAGGCCAUCUUAUGAAGAUAGAGUUUGUUUUGUAGCUACUGUCAGGUUAGCUACACCUCAGUUCAUCAAGGAAAUGUGCACUGUUGAAGAACCCAAUGAAGAGUUUACAUCUAGACAUAGUUUAGAAUGGAAGUUUCUGUUUCUAGAUCACAGGGCACCACCCAUAAUAGGGUAUUUGCCAUUUGAAGUUCUGGGAACAUCAGGCUAUGAUUACUAUCAUGUGGAUGACCUAGAAAAUUUGGCAAAAUGUCAUGAGCACUUAAUGCAAUAUGGGAAAGGCAAAUCAUGUUAUUAUAGGUUCCUGACUAAGGGGCAACAGUGGAUU
RNAcentral lists this small RNA (1337 nucleotides) under Pan troglodytes (chimpanzee). Its description in RNAcentral is "retained intron". Lineage: Eukaryota; Metazoa; Chordata; Mammalia; Primates; Hominidae. The record is from RNAcentral.